RNAcentral lists this ribosomal RNA (379 nucleotides) under uncultured bacterium. Its description in RNAcentral is "bacterial SSU rRNA". It matches the Rfam family "Bacterial small subunit ribosomal RNA", at positions 28 to 414 of the family's 1533-position model. The record is from RNAcentral.
GAUGAACGCUGGCGGCGUGCUUAACACAUGCAAGUCGAACGUGAGAAUAGCAAUAUUUGAAAGUGGCAAACGGGUGAGUAACACGUGGGAACCUGCCUCGAAGUGGGGGAUAACGAUUGGAAACGGUCGCUAAUACCGCACGGUUCUGCUCUGAUGGGAAUGGAGCAGAUAAAGAUUUAUCGCUUUGAGAGGGGCCCGCGGCCGAUUAGCUAGUUGGUAAGGUAAAGGCUUACCAAGGCGAUUAUCGGUAGCUGGUCUGAGAGGAUGAUCCGCCACACUGGGACUGAGACACGGCCCAGACUCCUACGGGAGGCAGCAGUGGGGAAUUUUGGACAAUGGGCGCAAGCCUGAUCCAGCCAUGCCGCGUGAGUGAAGAAGG